Molecule: ribosomal RNA, 440 nt
Filed under: uncultured Cyanothece sp.
Lineage: Bacteria; Bacillati; Cyanobacteriota; Cyanophyceae; Gomontiellales; Cyanothecaceae
Description: bacterial SSU rRNA
Rfam family: Bacterial small subunit ribosomal RNA
Source: RNAcentral
UGGGGCCCUUUCUAAACAUUGCCAAGUCGACGAAGUCUUCGGACUUAGUGGCGGACGGGUGAGUAACGCGUGAGAAUCUGCCCUCAGGAGGGGGACAACAGCUGGAAACGGCUGCUAAUACCCCAUGUGCCGAGAGGUGAAAUGUAUUUCGCCUGAGGAUGAGCUCGCGUCUGAUUAGCUAGUUGGAGUGGUAAUGGCACACCAAGGCGACGAUCAGUAGCUGGUCUGAGAGGAUGAGCAGCCACACUGGGACUGAGACACGGCCCAGACUCCUACGGGAGGCAGCAGUGGGGAAUUUUCCGCAAUGGGCGAAAGCCUGACGGAGCCAGACCGCGUGAGGGAAGAAGGCCUUUGGGUUGUAAACCUCUUUUCUCAGGGAAGAAGAAAGUGACGGUACCUGAGGAAUCAGCCUCGGCUAACUCCGUGCCAGCAGCCGCGGU